CCUGGAGGUACACACAGUGAUACUCUGUUAGGGCAGUGGAGGACAUCAAAGACAAUCUGGUUCCGUGGUUCCUUUAUUUCAACCAUGAUGUGCAGAAGAGAAAGUUCCCCCAGAGUCACAGAGCUACCAUCCCUGUCUCUUGUUUAUCAACCCUGGGCCAACUGUGGCGACGUUCUAUAGGAGGGAGCUGAGCUGAAGGGCCACCUCCUUUCUCAUGCACUCAUACUUUUAAAAAUUCAUUUAUUUAUUUAGAGACAGGGUCUUGCUUUGCAGUCAGGCUGGCCUCAAACUUGAGCUGACCCUCCUGCGUCAGCCUCCUGAGAGCUGGUAUUAUAUGUGUGUGCCACCAUGCCUAGCUACAUUGUAUUUUAAAUAAAUUAAAACAUUCUGCCAACCUUUCUACAGAUUAUAAAAUUAUCUGUGAGUAACCACAGCAUCUAUUAAAGUGGGUUUUGUAGAGCACUUCCUCCUUCCUUUUCAAUGCUCUGAAGGCUAAUUCCACAUCAUCUCUUGAGAAAAUCAGGACAGUGAGCUCAUCUUCCUGCGUCUGGUAUCUUUGAAACCUGGAAAAUACCUGCAGUACAUGUGCAGCCCAGGGUCACCAAGAAUCCCAGGAAAGAUGAGUUGCACCUGAUGGAGACCUCCACAGACAGAGAUAACCCUUUCCUGGAAAUGCAGCCAGCACUCAGUGAGAAUUCCAGAGCUCUGACACCGGGACUGAGAUAGAAGCAGCUGGAUCCCAGCUAACCAGGUGACCCUCUCAA
RNAcentral lists this long non-coding RNA (764 nucleotides) under Fukomys damarensis (Damara mole-rat). Its description in RNAcentral is "lncRNA (ENSFDAG00000030952.1)". Lineage: Eukaryota; Metazoa; Chordata; Mammalia; Rodentia; Bathyergidae. The record is from RNAcentral.